CUUUUUUUUUUUUUUUUUUUUUUUUUUGACUUAAAUUGCCUAAUGAUGGUAAACCUAAGUCAUCAGUUUAAUAUCUAAUUUUUUAAAAGAUUAUUUAUUGAAACAGUAUUGGAUGAAAUAGAAUCUGAAAAUGUGUGGGGGUUUUGAGAUGCCUUUUUGCCAUUUCAUUAAGAAAUUUAACAGAAAUAAGCUUUUUGUGUGGCAAAACUUAUUCAAAUUGGGCCUCAAUUCUUUGAAUCAUGAUUUUUUUAGGUGUAAAACUUGGUUUCAUUUCUAAAGGGUUAUUUUAGAGAUUUACAAACGAAAAUGAACUGCCUGGAAUAAAAAACUUGGUUUCAUUUCUAAAGGCUUAUUUUAGAGAUUUACAAAAGAAAAUGAACUGCCUGGAAUAAAAAACUUGGUUUCAUUUCUAAAGGCUUAUUUUAGAGAUUUACAAAAGAAAAUGAACUGCCUGGAAUAAAAGACUUAAUUUUGCUCAUGUUGCCUUUCCAAGGAGGAUUAAUUGAAGUAACAGAAUCCUGCCUUACGUAUACCUCUUACAUAGAAACCUCAGUGGCCCUCCAGUGUUUGCCCUUACCCUAUCCCCUCAAAUGCCACCCUGUACACGAGCCUUCCCACCUAAUUUUCAGGGUUUCUCCCCUUCCUUCCACUCUUCCUUUAACUGCUGCCUGAAGUCAUCUCCAGGCUCCCUCUUGUUGUCUACAGAUACAUGAUUAUAAACUUGGCAAAUGCAGUGAGGAAAAAAACUACCUGAGAGUCUAACGGAGAGACCUAAUAUAAUUAAGAUUUAAGGAAGGUGCCUGUAAAGAAUCGAUGUUUGAGUCAGGAUCUAAAGGAUGGAAAAGUAGGUGGGCAGCUGAGGACUGGAGGGAAGAAUGCUCCUGACAAGAGGACAGCGUGUGUGAGGGCCCAGCAGUGGGAAAGCUAGGCUAGUCCAAGAUGUUGAAAGAAGGCCCAUCCUGAUUUAUAUCGGGGGCUGUCCCAAAAUGAGGCAGCAUUCCUUUACAGAUGAAUGUCUUCGAGACCAUGUUCUGUAUCCUAAGUGCACUGGAGCCCAGUGGAGGGUGUUAAGGGGGUAGUGACAUGACUCAGGUCCGCAUUUCUGAAAGCUUAAUCUGGCUGCGAUUGGAAAAUUCAUUGAGGGAGAGUAAGAAUGGAAGCAGGGGACAAGCAAAGUGAGUUUAUGGACUGGUGCCACUGAGUGGUGAUGGUGACUGAAGCAGCAGGAUGGUGCCAAAUGCAGGAGGUAAGAAGUGGACCUAUUUGAAAUUGAUGUUUUCUAGGUAAAAUAGAAAGGACUUAGUGAUGUGUAUUGAGCACAGUGGGUAAAAGAGAAGGGGAGAUGGCAUGGAUCACUAGGUGGAUUUACUGAAAUGGCAAAGAUUGGCAGUAAAAGAGCAGUGAUGUUCAGCCUUAGAUGUGGGACGUUAGAGAGUGCCAGUGACACAUGCAGGUGAAGAUUUCUAAUAAGCAGUAGAAUCCAUGAGUGAUGAGAGACAGCUGAACUACCGAUAGCUGGGGGGUGGAAGUGAGUAGGGCUCUGGACUGUACUCUACAGAACCUUGAAGUUUAGAAGUUGGGUAAAAAAAAACCUGUAAGUGAAAAGGAAAAAAAAAAAA
This 1619-nucleotide long non-coding RNA is filed under the name Homo sapiens (human). RNAcentral's name for it is "novel transcript, sense intronic to RNMT". The record is from RNAcentral. Lineage: Eukaryota; Metazoa; Chordata; Mammalia; Primates; Hominidae.